This 253-nucleotide ribosomal RNA is filed under the name uncultured bacterium. RNAcentral describes it as "partial 16S ribosomal RNA". It matches the Rfam family "Bacterial small subunit ribosomal RNA", at positions 524 to 776 of the family's 1533-position model. The record is from RNAcentral.
GACGAACCGAGCGAACGUUAUUCGGAAUCACUGGGCUUAAAGGGCGCGUAGGCGGGCCAUCAAGUCAGGGGUGAAAGCCCCCAGCUCAACUGGGGAAGUGCCUUUGAUACUGGUGGUCUCGAGGGGGAUAGGGGCAUGCGGAACUUCCGGUGGAGCGGUGAAAUGCGUAGAUAUCGGAAGGAACACCGGUGGCGAAAGCGGCGUGCUGGAUCCCUUCUGACGCUGAGGCGCGAAAGCCAGGGGAGCGAACGGG